Molecule: long non-coding RNA, 1443 nt
Filed under: Anas platyrhynchos platyrhynchos (common mallard)
Lineage: Eukaryota; Metazoa; Chordata; Aves; Anseriformes; Anatidae
Description: lncRNA (ENSAPLG00000027887.1)
Source: RNAcentral
CCUGGGAGCAUUAUUUAGAUUCUCAAAUUAGCAUGGAAGUCUUCGGCCAGUGUCAUUUAAGCAAUUUUCACAGGAAUGCCUGGAAGCUGAAUCAGUCCUUCUUGCUGCCCAAGAGAGAAGAAACAGUUCAGACAAAAAUCUUUCUAAGAAGUUAAAUUUCAGUGCACCUCAAAGCAAUCUGAAUAAUACUGGAUGGGAAUCACAUGUGCUUUAUUUCCUUUGUUCAGUGAAUCCAACUGCAUGCUACAGUCAAUACUUCUGCUACAGCUCUUACUAAGAUACUGGCUGAAGCCAAAUUCUGAUCUCACUCCAGCUUCACACCUGAAUGACUGCAUCUCCUGCAGCCUUAUUGAAAGAUACUGUGUUUGGACACACGUUAAUAUUGGUGAGCAAUUGCACAGUCCUAACUGGUCCUACUGGAAUGUGGUCACUGGGUUUUUGUCUGUCCCUGUUAUAAAGGCUGCUGCUGAAUUAAAGAAGAGGUGCUUUCAAGACAGGUAGGUAAAUAAUACUGUAUGGCGACCAUAUGUUCCUCAUUUCUGUUCCAUGCUGUGUUGUUUUCACUUCGUGCCACUGAGCUUUUGUGGCAUGUAAUUGGCCUCUGCACAAAGACGGCAGUGAGACAACUGCAGACUGUGUGGAGGGAUGGGAAGGUGUGGCGUGAAAGGCUGAGCUUCCUGGGAGAGAUGUCAAGGAUCCUUUGGCAGGGAAAGAGGCUGGUGCUUCACAUCACACUUAGUAUGUGGUGGGGUACAGGCACUCGUAGACAUGAUGUGAGUGUGGGUUUGUUUUCCUGGUGUGCUGUUCCUGUGGCAUGAGACUGGGACUGGGGCUGGUGCUGGGCUGUAGGCAGAGUGCUCUGGGGCUGGAACAGGGCAAGGGUGCAGGGACAGCCAUGAAGAGGGGUAGGGGCAGCAGGAAGACCUGCUCUCCACAUUUCUGUCUUAAACAUGCCUUUCUCCUCCUACUACCUCUCCUUUGGCAGAAGGAGCUUGUCCCUGGACCCUCAUCCACAGGAGAGUGACAUCCAAUUUCUCCCACGCUGCUGAAAAACUUGGAGCCAGACAUGAUUAUGUUGAUCUACUUAGCUUUACUGGAUGAAAACUGUAAUAAUAAUAACACUGGUGCAGUGCUGAGCAAGGUUUUCUGCUGCUGCAAUCAUCAAUGUUCUGCCAGAUUUGAAGGAAAUAAUCUGUUGAUGCCAGUUCAGAAUCUGGCCUUCUUCUAAAGAAAUCAACAAUGAAAUCAUCAAUGCCUCUCUUGACCAACACUGAAUUAACAUACUUCCGUUUUUUCAAGAAUAGCUCACACUUAGCCCAAAUUUGAAUUGACUUCUAACUGCAAAUAUAUUUGUCAUUUUUUCUUGCAAUCAAUUGUUUAAAGAAAAAUAAUUGUCUUUCCAUUGUUUUUUUUCCAUUGCUUGGUUUAUUUUAUUCAAAUUUC